UACGAAGGGGGCUAGCGUUGUUCGGAUUUACUGGGCGUAAAGCGCACGUAGGCGGAUCGUUAAGUCGGGGGUGAAAUCCUGGAGCUCAACUCCAGAACUGCCUUCGAUACUGGCGAUCUUGAGUCCGGAAGAGGUGAGCGGAAUUCCUAGUGUAGAGGUGGAAUUCGUAGAUAUUAGGAAGAACACCAGUGGCGAAGGCGGCUCACUGGUCCGGUACUGACGCUGAGGUGCGAAAGCGUGGGGAGCAAACAGG
This 253-nucleotide ribosomal RNA is filed under the name uncultured bacterium. Its description in RNAcentral is "partial 16S ribosomal RNA". It matches the Rfam family "Bacterial small subunit ribosomal RNA", at positions 524 to 776 of the family's 1533-position model. The record is from RNAcentral.